ACACACAAGAAUCUUCUGGAGAGGACCAUUCUCGUCUUAUCUUUUUCUUUUUCUUUAAACCCUCGACUCUCGCCGUGCUCAAAGGUGGUAUGGGUUGUAUCUUUCUCUCUUUUUGCUUGUUAUUAUGGCUUUGGUAGCAAUUUUGCUUGAGAUUUUAGAAAGACUUAGUUUUGGGGAGGUAUUGUGAGAGCUGGUGAUGUUUGUAGGGUUCAUAUGGAUUGUUGCUCUUGUUGUGGUGUUGGUGAG
RNAcentral lists this long non-coding RNA (246 nucleotides) under Nicotiana benthamiana. Its description in RNAcentral is "long non-coding RNA (NBEN_LNC005942)". The record is from RNAcentral. Lineage: Eukaryota; Viridiplantae; Streptophyta; Magnoliopsida; Solanales; Solanaceae.